AUGGCCAAGCGACGGCGUGCCGAGGAUGUCGACCGGCUGAGCGACAUGCCGGAGUGCCUCCUCCACGACAUCAUGUCGCGCCUCAAGGCCCGCCAGCUCGUGCAGACCUGCGCGCUGUCGUCGACAUUGCGCCGCCUCUGGCUCACGGUGCCGUGUCUUGACAUCGACGCAGGGGAGUGGGCAUCUGUGGCUGGCCGUCAGGACAAGGUGUGCUUCAAACCACGGUUUAGCGAGGACGACGACGAGGAGGAGGACGAGGAGCUCGACAGGCUCGACGAUUUCGUCGACAGCCUCUUGCUCCGUCGCCGCGCGUGUGCCUCGCCGCUGGGCACCCUGCGGCUGAGCGUGCCAUCUUCCGGGCCCAUAUGGAUGCGCCUCCUCCGCGACCGUUCCUGCUGCAGGUCACACACCAGGUGGAUUCGCCGAGGCCUCCGGUGCUCCCCCGCGACGCUCGACGUCUCCGGCAUGAAGCUGCCACCUCUGACUUCUGGCUCUGGCACACACUGCCUCACCAAGCUGCGCCUCCAUAACGUACGUCUGCACAAGGAUUUCGAGAAGCACCUCAGCUCCGGGCUCCUCGCCCUGCAGGACCUCGAGAUCAGAAGCACGGAGAUGUCGGAAAUCUCAAGAAUCGCGUCCCACACACUCAAGAACCUCAUCGUUGAUAACUCCCCCACAUCCAACGAAGGAACACGGUUGGGAUUCCUCGUCGACGCCCCUCGUCUCGCCUCACUGCACCUCGUCGUUCAGUUUCGUCGCCUCGGCGUUUUUUCUGUCACCGUAUGUGAGGCGGCUUCCCCUAUCCAAGCAUCCAUCCACUUUCUGGACAGACCUAAACUCCGACAAGUUCAUGGGGGUUUCUACUAUUGGCAAGAUGACAAAGAUUUGCUCACAGCUCUCUGCAAACUUCUCCGAUCACUAUCCAACGUCACUUGCUUGGAGUUGUCAGGCUUCCGAGAAAUGGCAGUAGCAGAGCAACAUAUUCCGAAUUAUCCAUCACCGGGUACUCCAUUUCCAGCGGGAUUCUAUCAAACUACGGCGCCAACAAUUGGAGAUGAUUUGCUUCCCCGUCCUAUGUUGCAGGCAAUACUUCAUGAGAAGCAAAACAAAUUUCUACAACUCCGCAACCUAAAAACCUUGGUCCUUGACAAGUGUGAGAUAGGUGACAACAUUCAGACCUUGUGGUCCUUUUUGCAUAAUACGCCCGCCCUUGAGAAGCUUACUCUCAACAACUGUGGGUGCCAAGAGUUCCCAUAUGGUGCUGCUGCUUCUAACAUUUUUGAGAUGGGUUGCACAAUCUCCAACCUUAACUUGGUAGAAAUCAAGUACAACCCAAGAGAUGACCAUGAAGGCCAAGAUACUGCACAAAUGGAGAAGAUCUUGUCCAUGGACGAUCACCUCGUAUGCAUAGCCGCCCUGCCCUGCCGCACUGUCGUCUCUGCCGGUACCGUCGUCGUCGUGGUCCCUCCUGCGGCGGAACGGCGCCGGAGGGCCGCGGCAACCUUGCCCAGUGGCUACCUGCCGCUCGCGGAGGAGCCGCUCCGCCUCCUGCUGCACCGUGCAGAGGGCAGUCGCGGCCACGGCCGACAUGGCCUGUGGAGCCCUGGCGUCGGCCUUGCCACGAUCGGUGUUUGCAGAGCAGUCGCUAAGCAACCACUCCUCGCCGAUCUGGCGAGCUCGCCGUCAAGGAGGCGACCGCGCGCUUUCUUGAUUCCGGGCGACAGCUCCUCCUUGACGGCGAGGCGGUGGCGGCGCGUCAAUGGGAACGACGCGUCGAUGUGA
This 1782-nucleotide ribosomal RNA is filed under the name Triticum aestivum (bread wheat). Its description in RNAcentral is "partial small subunit ribosomal RNA". The record is from RNAcentral. Lineage: Eukaryota; Viridiplantae; Streptophyta; Magnoliopsida; Poales; Poaceae.